GAGUGCGUAACAGCUCACUAGUCGAGUGACCCUGCGCCGAAAAUUUACCGGGGCUAAGCAAGAUACCGAAUCUAUGGAUUGUAGUAAUACAGUGGUAGGGGAGCGUUCUAAGCUGCGUUGAAGAUAUACCGUAAGGAGUGUUGGAGCGCUUAGAAGUGAGAAUGCCGGUGUGAGUAGCGAAAUGUCAGUGAGAAUCUGACACACCGAUUGCCUAAGGUUUCCAGGGGAAGGUUCGUCCGCCCUGGGUAAGUCGGGACCUAAGAUGAGGCCGAAAGGCGUAGUCGAUGGACAACUGGUUGAUAUUCCAGUACCCGCGUACAAGUGAUGGAGUGACAGAGAAGGCUAACAUGAGCCGGCGAUUGGUAGUGCCGGUCUAAGUAAAAUAGCUGUAGCGUAGGCAAAUCCGCGCUAUAAGGCGAAGUUAUGAUGGGGAGUGAACGGGUGACCUAGUAACGAAGCAUGUGAUGCAAGCUCUCAAGAAAAGCUUCUAACGUUAAUUGUACUGCGGCCCGUACCAAAACCGACACAGGUGGGCAAGGAGAAUAUCCUGAGGUGAGCGAGAGAACUGUUGCCAAGGAACUCGGCAAAAUUACCCCGUACGUUCGCAAUAAGGGGUGCACGCAAGUGCCGCAGUGAAGAGGCCCAAGCAACUGUUUAACUAAAACACAGCUCUCUGCAAAGUCGCAAGACGAAGUAUAGGGGGUGACGCCUGCCCGGUGCUGGAAGGUUAAGGGGAUUUGUUAGUCGCAAGACGAAGCUUUGAACCGAAGCCCCAGUGAACGGCGGCCGUAACUAUAACGGUCCUAAGGUAGCGAAAUUCCUUGUCAGGUAAGUUCUGACCCGCACGAAAGGCGUAAUGAUUUGGGCGCUGUCUCGGCAGCAGACUCGGUGAAAUCUUAGUACCUGUGAAGAUGCAGGUUACCCGCAACUAGACGGAAAGACCCCAUGGAGCUUUACUAUAGCCUGAUAUUGAGUUUUGAACAAGUAUGUACAGGAUAGGUGGGAGACUUUGAAGUGUGGACGUCAGUCUGCAUGGAGUCGCCGUUGGGAUACCACUCUUGCUUGUUUGAAAUUCUAACCGACACCCAUGAUCUGGGUGCGGGACCGUGUCAGGUGGGUAGUUUGACUGGGGCGGUCGCCUCCUAAAGAGUAACGGAGGCGCUCAAAGGUACCCUCAGAUUGGUUGGAAAUCAAUCGACGAGCGCAAAGGCAGAAGGGUGCUUGACUGCGAGACUUACAAGUCGGGCAGGAACGAAAGUUGGACUUAGUGAUCCGGCGGUGCAGUAUGGAAUGGCCGUCGCUUAACGGAUAAAAGCUACCCUGGGGAUAACAGGCUGAUCUCGCCCAAGAGUUCACAUCGACGGCGAGGUUUGGCACCUCGAUGUCGGCUCAUCGCAUCCUGGAGGUGAAUUCGCUUCCAAGGGUUGGGCUGUCCGCCCAUUAAAGCGGUACGUGAGCUGGGUUCAGAACGUCGUGAGACAGUUCGGUCCCUAUCUGUUGUGGGCGUAGGAAUUUUGAGAAGCUCUGUCCUUAGUACGAGAGGACCGGGAUGGACAUACCGCUGGUGCACCAGUUGUUCUGCCAAGAGCAUAGCUGGGUAGCUAAGUAUGGAUCGGAUAAACGCUGAAGGCAUCUAAGCGUGAAACCGGCUUCAAGAUGAGAAUUCCCAUUCCUAGUGAAGUAAGACCCCUUGAAGACUACAAGGUUGAUAGGUCAGAGAUGGAAGCGCAGUGAUGCGUGCAGUUUACUGAUACUAAUAGGUCGAGGAUUUAAUCA
This 1776-nucleotide ribosomal RNA is filed under the name metagenome. RNAcentral describes it as "bacterial LSU rRNA". It matches the Rfam family "Bacterial large subunit ribosomal RNA", at positions 1128 to 2925 of the family's 2925-position model. The record is from RNAcentral.